UACAAGGUGCUAUUAGCUUGAUAAACGUCAGUCAUUCUGUCAAAAACAAGAAAUAGAGCAGUAAUCGCUUUUACAAAUGUAGGUCAAAACUAGUGGGAUCUACUGGAACAGAGCUCCAAAAGAAAAAUAGAAUCAAAAACGAGCUAAAACAUGUAAACAACGAAGAGUGAUUGUGAUCAUGACGCUUAUCCCGAUGAUACGUGCUGGAUGAUGUAAGUGAGUGAGCGAUCAUAGAUAAGACCUUCGUUUGCCCAGUGUGAGACUCUUAUCAUUACCGCCACUACACAGUGGCUGCAGUAGCAACUGUUGUCGUCGUCGUCACCGCAAAAGCACUGCAGUAUUGGGACACUAGUACAAACCAGUGCAAUAUAGUAUCAACGACUUGAGCCUUGAAGCUAGGGAUCUCCGUCGGAUACGAUGAUAAUGCUGAUGCUGCUGUUGUUGCUGCUACUGAUAAUGCUAACGACCAUGGCAGCAAUGUGACCGGUCGGUCCUUCAGCUGGUUUCGGUCUGUUGGUGCUGUAUUUAGUGGAGCUAUUGCCGCAGCUUAUGACUUUACAGUUGUCAUCGUCGUUGUUUUCCAUUGGUCUAAGUAUUACUGUUAUUGUUGCUGGGGCUAUUGCUUGUGCGACUAUCCAUGCUCGCGUCACGCGUUCAGUGACGUGAAUCUAAUUCCUCCCGGCCCUUGUUGCCGAAUCGCCGUCAUCGUAGGAGCGUGCAGAAACCGUCAGCUAAUAGGCUACAACCAUCAGCAUCAGCGCUGCCACUACUUCUAUACGUUUUAUACCGUAUAUUUUAGGGACUGAGACGACAUUAAUAGUAGCAUAACACAAAUAGUAGCAGCGGCGGCGACAACAGCAACGAUGGUUUGAAUUGGUCGGGCUGAUUUUGAAUGAUUAUUUAGAGAAAGGGAUGCGAUCCUACUGACUGUCUUGCCCCUAAAACAGCAGGCGCAGGUAACGAAUUAGACUCCCGUUCUGAGCUGGAUGGAUAUAAGGGCUUGUCGGACAGAGAUUUGGGCAUCGAACAGCGCGAUCAAACAUCGGCAGCACAUCAGCCGAAACCUGUCGUACAUCAUGAAAUCAUCAACGUGCACGAACCCCCAAAGAUCAUCCACAAGCCCGUCUUCGUUAAGGAGGUCCAUCAUGAAUGGGAUGAAGGAUGGGACAACAAAUGGUAAAGAGAUCCGAAUGUUGGCAGUCACCGGAUUCUUGUCGAGGACGAAAACUUGGACAGCUUCAAAAGCAUGCUGAGUAUUGUAAUGUUAUAAUACUCAGUCAAUAGCACAAGCAGCCCUUUUUUUUGUGUGGUGAAAACUUCGACAGCUAAAUAAUUAUAAUUUGUGUGUAAAUGUCCUUUGAAAGUGUGUGUCGCCCAGGAGUACUCGUGUGUAGCCCUGUAAAGGUUAUAGUCCGAAAUACAUUAGUGUUACUUGUUUUAUAGAGCAAUGUCUUCGGUGUGUCAAUUGUUCUUCUGAUCGUCUCAUGUGAACAGUCCCGUGGUAGAUGUUACUGACGAUUGUACUUCAAUAAUUGAUUUGUGUGAUUGAAUGUAACCCGACAUGUUGAGGAUGACGCAUCGCAUUAUUGUUGUUAUGACAUAUCGAUUCUACGAAUGAAUGAGUCCUGGGAACUCGAGUGCUUGAAGUGCACAAAAUGCAUAUAGAAGUUAUACACGAGCAAGCUGCUCAAGUAAUUUAACAAAGACGUAAAAGAGAUAGUCUUAAAAAAAUGUUACUUUAGAUGUCGGGUUCGAUAAGCGGCAAGUGUAGUCUUCGAACGCGAAAUAUAAAGAAAUUUGGAGGCCAUGUGCAAUAUUGUGCUUUGUUUUAUCAACUGAUUCACUCAGUUUGGAUGCGUAUGGUUGUUCAAAUAUAUAGUAACCGAAGAUCCGGCUUUAUGUUCAACAAAAAGAAAACUUGUAGGUUGAGUCUAGUUCUAAUGGGUGCUCCCGAAUCUCAGAGCGAGUUUUGCCGAACCAGACUUUCUUCGUGAGAUAAUACUAAGCUUUUGUCCUUUUUUGGCAAUUACAUCCUUGUUUCAGCGGAUGCCACCUGUUUUCGAACCAUUUUUAUAUAAUCUUUGUUAGUUGUAUAAGAUUUCUGUGUUUUAAGUAUUUCGCAAGAAUGUUUGCUUCCGUUCAUUCCGAUUUGUUUCGGGGUCUACAGUUGUAUUAAAAUGUAAGACACGUUGCCGUCUAAGCCGCGCACACAAUUUGUGUAGUUUAAACUAUACAAAUGUAACUGAAUAUAUUGUCGCAUAUUUUGUGCUGUCGGGAUCAGUACUGCAACGUAUUGGUCACACGUUUACUACAGUGUGCUUAAUGUGAAGUGUGGUCUUAUGCUGUUAAGUGGACAUUAAGGAUGAAUAUUGUCCUCGUCAUUGUAUUUAUACCUCGUCUUGUCGUCAUCAAUUAUAUUGAUUGAUAUUAUGCUGUUGAAUGUAAUAAAAUAUAAAACCAUGGUAACAAUCA
RNAcentral lists this long non-coding RNA (2472 nucleotides) under Varroa destructor (honeybee mite). RNAcentral describes it as "uncharacterized LOC111248464". The record is from RNAcentral. Lineage: Eukaryota; Metazoa; Arthropoda; Arachnida; Mesostigmata; Varroidae.